Molecule: ribosomal RNA, 253 nt
Filed under: uncultured bacterium
Lineage: Bacteria
Description: partial 16S ribosomal RNA
Rfam family: Bacterial small subunit ribosomal RNA
Source: RNAcentral
UACGUAGGGUGCGAGCGUUGUCCGGAAUUAUUGGGCGUAAAGGGCUCGUAGGCGGCCAACUAAGUCAGACGUGAAAUCCCUCAGCUUAACUGGGGAACUGCGUCUGAUACUGGAUGGCUUGGAUUCGGGAGAGGAAUGCGGAAUUCCAGGUGUAGCGGUGAAAUGCGUAGAUAUCUGGAGGAACACCGGUGGCGAAGGCGGCAUUCUGGACCGACAUUGACGCUGAGGAGCGAAAGCCAGGGGAGCAAACGGG